AGCGCCUGCGGCGGACCCGGCGCGCGCGAGAUCCCAUCGCUUCGCAGGCAGCGGCGCGCGUACGGCCCUGUACAUCCCGGAAUUACCGGGAUUUAAUCCUUUC
Molecule: small RNA, 103 nt
Filed under: bovine gut metagenome
Description: RT-5 RNA
Rfam family: RT-5 RNA
About the family: Clostridium (Firmicutes). Environment (Cow rumen (57))
Source: RNAcentral